Molecule: long non-coding RNA, 1572 nt
Organism: Rhinichthys klamathensis goyatoka
Lineage: Eukaryota; Metazoa; Chordata; Actinopteri; Cypriniformes; Leuciscidae
Exons: 3
Source: RefSeq, a predicted model, not a curated record
UUCAUUGUAAAUAAUAAAAAUAAUAUAGGAAAGGAACGGUUCAAUACAAAACUUUUUUAUUCAAUGGCAAAUCAGUCUCAAUCAUGAAAUACUCAAAAAACCCAUUUAGUAAACGUUUUAGGGUGUGACAGUUGCAGCAAGAACAGCCAAUGGGAAUCCGUGGAAAGAAAACUGGCAUCAGUAUUUCCAAUCUUAAUCAAUUGGUAUCAAUGUUCCAAUUCAUUAAAUGAAAAUCUUAUAUAUUCAUGUUUGAAAAGUUACAUCAUAAACAGCUUUACCUUGUGCCAUCUCGUCAGACAUUCAAGUUUCAACCAGUAAAACGCAUAGUGCGACCACAGCCACGAUGCUAGUGCACUAGUCGUUCAAUAGCGCUGUGGAGCGCACGGAAAAUGUGUUACAUAUGACAGCGUUUUUGGGUCGUGUUUCAGCUCUGGUCGCACGUUCUUUUGGCUGGAGCUGAAACGUUGUUCGCUUUGAGUGUAGAUUCGGUGUAUGCUGAGUUUGUAGAAGGCUAGCGUUCCAAGAAGACGUUAGCUGCGAUGUAGCCGCAUUAAUAAUUUGAUAGGAACACGAUGUAAUACAAACCUUAAUUUCAUUCUUUCAUUCGUUCUCUCAGAACAGAACAGAACAGAACAGAACACAAAUUUACCGUUGACAAAUGUAUCCAGUUUUAACUGGUUACAUUGACCCAGCGCUAGCUAUGUGAGGGGUUUAUCAUAUAUUGUAUUAACAGUAAAAAUGAGCCAGCAGCUGAGUUACAGAAAAACUACUCCGCAACUGGGGAAAAUAUUACAAAUAACCCAAUAAAACGAUACAACAGGCUGAACUCAGCAUUUGGGUUAAAAAAAAAUAACCCAGCAUUUUUAAAGGAUGUAGUAGUCUGACUAUCAUCAGAUGCAUUAUACAAAAUCUCAUGUUUUUAAAUACAACAAAGAUAAGAUGUGCUGCUCUCUCUAUCUGUCUGGUGCGCUUGGACAGUAAAUAUAUUAGGUGCUCGGAUUAUUUGCCUGCUUAUAACCGCACACAAACACACAUUCAGAUAGAUGUCACUUAUUAAGGUCACUAUACAUACUUACCUACUAUAUAGUAGUUGAAAAACAGUAUGUGAAAAGAGCACUAUGUCCGAAUUCACAGUAUUCAUAAAACAGUAGGGAAAAAGUACCCAGAUGACCUACUACUUCCGGCGAGAAAUUGAAGAGCAGAUCCAGUGGACACUUUACUAUCCCAUGAGCCCAUGGGAGAUGAUUUGUAAACAGCAUUGAAUCAAUGCGACUGACGCUGUAGUUCACAUGAAAAUGACAACAUGACGAAUGUACGUCCUAAUUACAUUUAUACUACACUCAUUCAUACUAUAUACUAUUUUAAUGGUCUCGAAGUGAUUCAUAAUUAAAAAGUAAGAGUUUUCGGGUGCAGCCAGAAAGUUUCAGUGCAACCAGUGUAGUCCGAUCACCAAACAAAUGACUUUAUGAGUCGGUUCUUUUUAGUGUAAAAACGUACAGCGUCAAUAGCACAGCUCGAUUCAAACAAAUGACUGUAAUGAAUCGGUUUGUUUUAGUGACUCGAACACAUACA